RNAcentral lists this unclassified non-coding RNA (202 nucleotides) under Psathyrella senex. RNAcentral describes it as "partial internal transcribed spacer 2". The record is from RNAcentral. Lineage: Eukaryota; Fungi; Basidiomycota; Agaricomycetes; Agaricales; Psathyrellaceae.
AAUUCUCAACCUCAUCAGUUUUCUUGUAAGACUGUGUGAGGCUUGGAUGUGGGGGUUUGUGCAGGCUGCCUCAGCGCGGUCUGCUCCCCUGAAAUGCAUUAGCGAGUUACAACUGGGCUCCGUCUAUUGGUGUGAUAAUUAUCUACGCCGUGGAUUGGGCUUAGACUUGCUUCUAACCGUCCGCAAGGACAAUCUUUUGACA